This 417-nucleotide unclassified non-coding RNA is filed under the name Hevea brasiliensis (rubber tree). The record is from RNAcentral. Lineage: Eukaryota; Viridiplantae; Streptophyta; Magnoliopsida; Malpighiales; Euphorbiaceae.
GAUCAUAAGCUAGAAGAUGUAAGAGCAAAGAUAUUCCCUUAUAAGAGGCGAAAAGUGAAGGAGCCUGAAAUUAUGCCUUCAGUUACAUUGCCAGUUAGAAGGAAAGAGAGAUCACUUUCAUCAUUGGGUGUCAGCACACCCAGAGUAUCUACACAUACUGGAAUGACAGGAAGAAGAUCAAAAUCAGUGGCAAGAAAAGCAUUACGCGGCUCUACCUUUUCCACUGAGAAAGCUAUCAAGAAUGAGGAAGAUUAUGGGGAAGAGUCAGAUAGCUCUAGCUCACCAGACACUUUGACAAAGUCUUCUCAGAGUAAAAGGCAGAAUUAUUCCAAUGCCGAGCCUUCUAGCCAUCCCACAUCGGACAAAGGAACUGACAAUGGCACUGAACAACAAGAAGGCAAAGUUGAUUUGUGGAAA